RNAcentral lists this ribosomal RNA (525 nucleotides) under Xanthichthys mento (redtail triggerfish). RNAcentral's name for it is "partial 16S ribosomal RNA". It matches the Rfam family "Bacterial large subunit ribosomal RNA", at positions 1846 to 2571 of the family's 2925-position model. The record is from RNAcentral. Lineage: Eukaryota; Metazoa; Chordata; Actinopteri; Tetraodontiformes; Balistidae.
UAAGAGGUCCCGCCUGCCCUGUGACUAUACGUUUAACGGCCGCGGUAUUUUGACCGUGCGAAGGUAGCGCAAUCACUUGUCUCUUAAAUGGGGACCUGUAUGAAUGGCAUAACGAGGGUUUAACUGUCUCCCUUUCCAAGUUAAUGAAAUUGAUCUCCCCGUGCAGAAGCGGGGAUACAAACAUAAGACGAGAAGACCCUAUGGAGCUUUAGGCAGCAAACAGAUCGUACUAAAUAUCCCCUAAUAAAGGAACAAAGCAUACGAAACCUGGCCCAAUGCCUUUGGUUGGGGCGACCGCGGGGAAACAAAAAACCCCCAUGUGGAACGGGACUACCCAUCCUCCAAACAAGAGCCCCCGCUCUAAAAAACAGAACAUCUGACCUACAAGAUCCGGCAGAGCCGAUCAACGAACCGAGUUACCCUAGGGAUAACAGCGCAAUCCCCUUAUAGAGCCCAUAUCGACAAGGGGGUUUACGACCUCGAUGUUGGAUCAGGAUAUCCUAAUGGUGCAGCCGCUAUUAAGGG